GGUUAAGCGACUAAGCGUACACGGUGGAUGCCCUGGCAGUCAGAGGCGAUGAAGGACGUGCUAAUCUGCGAAAAGCGUCGGUAAGGUGAUAUGAACCGUUAUAACCGGCGAUGUCCGAAUGGGGAAACCCAGUGCAAUUCGUUGCACUAUCGUUAACUGAAUACAUAGGUUAACGAGGCGAACCGGGGGAACUGAAACAUCUAAGUACCCCGAGGAAAAGAAAUCAACCGAGAUUCCCCCAGUAGCGGCGAGCGAACGGGGAGCAGCCCAGAGUCUGAAUCAGCUUGUGUGUUAGUGGAACGGUCUGGAAAGUCCGACGGUACAGGGUGAUAGUCCCGUACACCAAAAUGCACAGGUUGUGAACUCGAAGAGUAGGGCGGGACACGUGGUAUCCUGUCUGAAUAUGGGGGGACCAUCCUCCAAGGCUAAAUACUCCUGACUGACCGAUAGUGAACCAGUACCGUGAGGGAAAGGCGAAAAGAACCCCGGCGAGGGGAGUGAAAAAGAACCUGAAACCGUGUACGUACAAGCAGUGGGAGCACCUUCGGGUGUGACUGCGUACCUUUUGUAUAAUGGGUCAGCGACUUAUAUUCUGUAGCAAGGUUAACCGUAUAGGGGAGCCGCAGGGAAACCGAGUCUUAACUGGGCGUUAAGUUGCAGGGUAUAGACCCGAAACCCGGUGAUCUAGCCAUGGGCAGGUUGAAGGUUGGGUAACACUAACUGGAGGACCGAACCGACUAAUGUUGAAAAAUUAGCGGAUGACUUGUGGCUGGGGGUGAAAGGCCAAUCAAACCGGGAGAUAGCUGGUUCUCCCCGAAAGCUAUUUAGGUAGCGCCUCGUGAAUUCAUCUUCGGGGGUAGAGCACUGUUUCGGCUAGGGGGUCAUCCCGACUUACCAACCCGAUGCAAACUACGAAUACCGAAGAAUGUUAUCACGGGAGACACACGGCGGGUGCUAACGUCCGUCGUGAAGAGGGAAACAACCCAGACCGCCAGCUAAGGUCCCAAAGUCAUGGUUAAGUGGGAAACGAUGUGGGAAGGCACAGACAGCCAGGAUGUUGGCUUAGAAGCAGCCAUCAUUUAAAGAAAGCGUAAUAGCUCACUGGUCGAGUCGGCCUGCGCGGAAGAUGUAACGGGGCUAAACCAUGCACCGAAGCUGCGGCAGCGACACUAUGUGUUGUUGGGUAGGGGAGCGUUCUGUAAGCCUGCGAAGGUGUGCUGUGAGGCAUGCUGGAGGUAUCAGAAGUGCGAAUGCUGACAUAAGUAACGAUAAAGCGGGUGAAAAGCCCGCUCGCCGGAAGACCAAGGGUUCCUGUCCAACGUUAAUCGGGGCAGGGUGAGUCGACCCCUAAGGCGAGGCCGAAAGGCGUAGUCGAUGGGAAACAGGUUAAUAUUCCUGUACUUGGUGUUACUGCGAAGGGGGGACGGAGAAGGCUAUGUUAGCCGGGCGACGGUUGUCCCGGUUUAAGCAUGUAGGCUGGUUGUCCAGGCAAAUCCGGAUAAUCAAGGCUGAGGUGUGAUGACGAGGCACUACGGUGCUGAAGUAACAAAUGCCCUGCUUCCAGGAAAAGCCUCUAAGCAUCAGGUAACAUCAAAUCGUACCCCAAACCGACACAGGUGGUCAGGUAGAGAAUACCAAGGCGCUUGAGAGAACUCGGGUGAAGGAACUAGGCAAAAUGGUGCCGUAACUUCGGGAGAAGGCACGCUGGUGUGUAGGUGAAGUCCCUGCGGAUGGAGCUGAGACCAGUCGAAGAUACCAGCUGGCUGCAACUGUUUAUUAAAAACACAGCACUGUGCAAACACGAAAGUGGACGUAUACGGUGUGACGCCUGCCCGGUGCCGGAAGGUUAAUUGAUGGGGUUAUCCGUAAGGAGAAGCUCUUGAUCGAAGCCCCGGUAAACGGCGGCCGUAACUAUAACGGUCCUAAGGUAGCGAAAUUCCUUGUCGGGUAAGUUCCGACCUGCACGAAUGGCGUAAUGAUGGCCAGGCUGUCUCCACCCGAGACUCAGUGAAAUUGAACUCGCUGUGAAGAUGCAGUGUACCCGCGGCAAGACGGAAAGACCCCGUGAACCUUUACUAUAGCUUGACACUGAACAUUGAGCCUUGAUGUGUAGGAUAGGUGGGAGGCUUUGAAGCGUGGACGCCAGUCUGCGUGGAGCCAACCUUGAAAUACCACCCUUUAAUGUUUGAUGUUCUAACGUUGGCCCCUUACCGGGGUUGCGGACAGUGUCUGGUGGGUAGUUUGACUGGGGCGGUCUCCUCCCAAAGCGUAACGGAGGAGCACGAAGGUUAGCUAAUCCUGGUCGGACAUCAGGAGGUUAGUGCAAUGGCAUAAGCUAGCUUGACUGCGAGCGUGACGGCGCGAGCAGGUGCGAAAGCAGGUCAUAGUGAUCCGGUGGUUCUGAAUGGAAGGGCCAUCGCUCAACGGAUAAAAGGUACUCCGGGGAUAACAGGCUGAUACCGCCCAAGAGUUCAUAUCGACGGCGGUGUUUGGCACCUCGAUGUCGGCUCAUCACAUCCUGGGGCUGAAGUAGGUCCCAAGGGUAUGGCUGUUCGCCAUUUAAAGUGGUACGCGAGCUGGGUUUAGAACGUCGUGAGACAGUUCGGUCCCUAUCUGCCGUGGGCGCUGGAGAAUUGAGGGGGGCUGCUCCUAGUACGAGAGGACCGGAGUGGACGCAUCACUGGUGUUCGGGUUGUCAUGCCAAUGGCACUGCCCGGUAGCUAAAUGCGGAAGAGAUAAGUGCUGAAAGCAUCUAAGCACGAAACUUGCCCCGAGAUGAGUUCUCCCUGAGACUUUAAGUCUCCUGAAGGAACGUUAAAGACGAUGACGUUGAUAGGCCGGGUGUGUAAGCGCAGCGAUGCGUUGAGCUAACCGGUACUAAUGAACCGUGAGGCUUAACCUU
This 2902-nucleotide ribosomal RNA is filed under the name Klebsiella pneumoniae. RNAcentral's name for it is "23S ribosomal RNA". It matches the Rfam family "Bacterial large subunit ribosomal RNA". Lineage: Bacteria; Pseudomonadati; Pseudomonadota; Gammaproteobacteria; Enterobacterales; Enterobacteriaceae. The record is from RNAcentral.